UCCGGCUUAUCACCGGCAGUCCCUCUAGAGUGCCCAACUAAAUGAUGGCAACUAAAGGCGAGGGUUGCGCUCGUUGCGGGACUUAACCCAACAUCUCACGGCACGAGCUGACGACAGCCAUGCAGCACCUCUAGAGCAGUCCGGUAAAGGACAUUGACAUCUCUGCCAACUUCCACUCCAGUUCAAGCCCAGGUAAGGUUCUUCGCGUUGCGUCGAAUUGAACCACAUGCUCCACCGCUUGUGCGGGCCCCCGUCAAUUCCUUUGAGUUUUAACCUUGCGGCCGUACUCCCCAGGCGGGGCACUUAUUGCGUUAGCUGCGACACCAAAAGGAUUAAACCUUCCGACAUCUAGUGCCCAUCGUUUACAGCGUGGACUAC
RNAcentral lists this unclassified non-coding RNA (378 nucleotides) under uncultured bacterium. Its description in RNAcentral is "contains 16S-23S intergenic spacer region". The record is from RNAcentral.